GAAAUGCUUUUGGUAUUCAUGCAUUUCUUUCCCUUGUAGCUCAUGAGUGCCAGCUGUGUGCCCAACACCAUGCUAUGCUGGUGGCCAAGGCCCUGCCUGCAUAGAGAAUAUCAUCUGGGGAGAAUUCAGACAGCAAGAACCAAGUGUGAAGAUUAUGACCAAACGAGCAGCACUGGGUCCAGGCCCACGGUGCUAGAAGCCAAUAUUCACUUUUCAGCAGAGAAACAAUUGGGUCUGAACCAAACCAGUAGGAGCAGUGAGGACUGGCAGAGAGAUCUACUUCACCUUCUAUUUGGUACCCCUUUGAGUCCCCAGAGCCACCAAAAAUGACUCUCACUCCAAAGAGGAAGAAGAGCAAUCCAGAGAUGGUGUUUUUAAGAGCGUCAACUGUGGAAGACCUGGGCCCUACCUUAGACCCCCUGAAUCUAUGGGAGUGGAGCUGCAAAUCCUUUGAAUGCAUACUAAUUUUGAGAACUAUUGUUCUGGAUGUUUUAAGGAAGUGAGGAGGAAGUCAUCUCAUUCAGUGAGAUGGUCUCCAACAUCUCAAAAACCUACUCCCCAGAUGGCUGACAUCUCCAGGUGGAGGGUCAUAAAGCAGAAGCAAGAGUGUGUAGCUGGGAAACUCAUUAUUCCCCCACUCACCCAGGGAAGUUGUCUUCAACUUUCACCCACAGUGGUGAAUAGGUCCAUUGAGUUUGUCAUCUCCAACAGGUUGGUAGGAACUGUUUGAAGUGCUGUGUUGUAGAUUCUGAGUCCACUGUUUGACUCAAUAGGAAAGAGAUUUCUAACCAAUUAUCAGCGUCAGCCAUUGACCCUCCAUGUGGGCAUACCCUUUAUACUCUUGCUACCCAUCACUGCCUUGCUUCAGCCUCCAUUGUUUUCAGGAAGGAAGGAAAGGCAUGCCUGCAAAUGUCUAACUCGGCUCCAACUCUGAAGAGGAUGUAGGGUUGGAUAGGAAGUAAGCAGCUUUUAAGAUUAUACCAUUGUGAGUUUGCCUGCUUUGUAGGGAUCUGUCUACUUUUGCAUCUCUCCCCUAUGGGACAGAUCAUUGAAAAGUGUGGUCUAAGAAGGGAAAAUAAAAGCAGAUUCUUUUUGAAGUAAAGCA
RNAcentral lists this long non-coding RNA (1105 nucleotides) under Vulpes vulpes (red fox). RNAcentral's name for it is "lncRNA (ENSVVUG00000013962.1)". Lineage: Eukaryota; Metazoa; Chordata; Mammalia; Carnivora; Canidae. The record is from RNAcentral.